UUUUAUCCUAAAAUCACCUUUACUUGCUGAAAUACAAGAAGAUAUUAUAUUUCCCUACUUUCUUUAUAGGUGUGUGGAAUAAUGGUCCUACAAUUAAAAAAGAAAAAAUGACCAUUUGUCUCUUUUCAGAGGCUGUUUUAUGACAUGGAUGGCUUAAACUAGGUGACUAUGAAAGAAGUAUUAAAGGGAACUCGGAUAGAAAAAAUUGGCUGUGUUAUACUUGCUCUGAAAUAUCAUCACCAUCAGAAUAUGGGCAUGGUCUGGAAACCUACAAAUGUAAGAAGAUAUGUUCCCUCUUCUCUCUUUGGACAGGGACCACACAAUGGGUGAUACCACAAAUGCUGCAUGAUGGACUAUACUAUGUACUAAAGUUAAUGGAUUUUAUGAGCAUGACAAUGUUACAUUUAUUUGAGCACUUUCAAUGAACAAGUUAAUUCUUAACUCAUUUGUCAGCUAUCUAAUUUCUGGCAAUCUCCUGAGCAAGCUACUUUAGUGGAUUUAAUACAUUUGUAAAACAAAUCAAUCAUAGAUUGGGCAUAGAAAUUUGGCUACAUUUAUAAUGACAAGUGGCCAUUGAAGAUGGCCUACGCACUGAUUCUGUGGUAAUGCCUGCUAAAUCUAUAGAGCUUGUUAAUGUUUGACAAGUUACUUUAUGUACUUAUGGUUUAGUGUUUAAUGAUGAUUAAUCCCAUAGUAAAAGAGUAGUCUCAGUUUUUGACGGUUAUUGCAGAACAUGUGGAAAAUAAAAAAUGUCAAGUAAAAUGUUCA
This is a long non-coding RNA of Anser brachyrhynchus (Pink-footed goose), 768 nucleotides long. The record is from Ensembl. NCBI's taxonomy places the organism in Eukaryota, Metazoa, Chordata, Aves, Anseriformes, Anatidae.